AGUUUACAAUGAGCAACUGAAGAUAGCAGCCUCAAAAUGAUGUCUCCUUUGCACGCAGUAAUUGUGGCGUGUCCUGCACAAGGCCAUGUUAAUCCACUGAUGAAUCUUGCAGAGCUGCUGGCCAUGCGAGGAUUUUUCAUAACCUUUGUUACUACUGAAUGGAUGGAUCAGCGGCUUUUGAAAGCAGCUUCAAAAGAUGCAGCUGCACGUGACCGUGAGAUUCAAGGAAGGGGCUUCAAAUUUCGGUUUUUAGCUAUCCCAGACGGCUUACCGCCGGAACAUGGCCGAACUUCUGAGAUUGGUGAGCUUUUGCUUGCGCUGCAAAGCUUGGGACCUGCUUUGGAAAGUGUGUUGAGUGUAGCAGAUGAAUCUGUACCGCCAAUCACUUGCAUUAUUACGGACAGCUAUUUAUCCUGCACAGCAGAAGUAGCUAAAAAUCUUGGGGUGCCCAGAGUUGUCUUCUGGACUACCUGUACUGCAUAUGCCAUUAUUCUUAAAAAUGCUCACUUUCUUCUUUCUCAGGGCCAUAUCCCUGUCAAAGAAGAGGACUUAAAGUCUAAAGAUAAACUAAUCACAUGCCUCCCUGGAAAAAUCCCUCCUAUCAGGCCAACUGACAUCGUUUCCUUCUUCCGGGAAAAACAUGUCUCUGAAGUAAUUUACAGUGCCUCCCUCUACGAAUCUCGCAUCCAAAACAUAGCAGACUACGUGCUAGUCAAUACUUUCGAGGAGUUGGAAGGAGGUAUAGAUGCACAAAUAGGUCUAAGCGUUAAUGGAUGCCCUUCUCUGGCAAUUGGCCCAGUGUUUCUUCCAAAUUUCUUACAAGGUAGGAAUUCCGUGUAUAGUAUGUGGGAAGAGGAUAAAACGUGCUUUCAAUGGCUCGACGGUCAAGCGCAGGGAUCUGUGUUAUAUGUUUCCUUUGGUAGCAUGGCUAUAAAAUCUGAAAAGCAAUUGCAUGAACUGGCUCUUGGACUAGAAGCUUGUGGGUACCCGUUCCUGUGGGUGCUCAGAUCAGAUAUAGCAGAUGGUAAGUCCCUUGAUUUACCAGAAGGCUUCAAGGAUCGAACCAAGGAUCGGGCUCUGAUCGUUAGUUGGACGAAUCAGUUGAAGGUGCUUUCUCAUCUAUCAAUUGGAGGAUUCCUUACACAUAGUGGGUGGAAUUCUACUUUGGAGGCAAUUAGUAUGGGAAUUCCGAUGAUUGGAUGGCCUUAUUGUGGUGAUCAAUUUCUUAAUUGUCGAUUUGUAAAAGAUGUUUGGAAUGUUGGCUUUGACUUUAAGGGUGUUGAUGUAGAUGAAUUCAAAGUAGUGACACAAGAGAUUGUUGAGAGUACAAUUAGAAGUAUAAUGGAAGGUUCUAGCAGAGUGAAACUACGUGAAAAUGUUGUGAGGCUAAAGGAGGCAGCACACAAGGCAGUGACGGAAGGAGGAACUUCUUAUUCAAACUUGAACACUUUUGCAGAGGAUAUGCAAAAGAUAGCAAAAUCAAGGGUCUAAGGAGUUUCCUAAUAUAUUUUAUCUAGUGAAAUCAAGCUGCUGGGCAUGCGAGGAUUUUUCAUAACCUUCGUUACUACUGAAUGGAUGGAUCAGCGGCUUUUGAAAGCAGCUUCCAGAGAUGCAGCUGCACGUGACCGUGAGAUUCAAGGAAGGGGUUUCAAAUUUCGGUUUUAAGCUAUCCCAGAUGGCUUACCGCCGGAACAUGGCCGAACUUCUGAGAUUGAGGAGGACUUGAAGUCUAAACAGAAACUCAUCACAUGCUUUCACGGAAAACUCCCACCUGUCAGGCCAACCGACAUCGUUUCUUCUUCCGGGAAAAACACAUCUCUGAAAUUAUUUACAGUGCCCAUCUUUACGAAUCUCGCUUCCUAAACAUAGGAGACUACUUACUAGUCAAUACUUUCGAGGAGUUGGAAGGAGGUAAAGAAACUCAAAUGGGUCUCAGGGUUAAUGGACGCCCUGCUCUGGCAAUUGGUCCUGUGUCUCUUCCAAAUUUCUUACAAGGUAGGAAUUCCGUUUGCAGCAUGUGGGAAGAGGAUAAAACGUGCCUUCAGUGGCUAGACGCCCAACCUCAAGGUUCUGUGUUAUAUGUUUCCUUUGGUAGCAUUGCUAUGAAGUCUGAAAGGCAAUUGCAUGAGCUGGCUCUUGGACCAGAGGCUUGUGGAUACCCGUUCCUGUGGGUGCUCAGAUCAGAUAUAGCAGAAGGAAAGUCCCUUGAUUUACCAGAAGGCUUCAAGGAUCGAAGCAAGGAUCGGGCUCUGUUCGUUAGUUAGACGAAUCAGUUGAAGGCAAGGCGGUUUCUAAACUUCCGAUUAUUGUAAUUUUAGGAAAGUUUCUAAACUAAUUUUUUUAAAGGGAUGUAGGCGGAGGAUUCUUUACACAUGGUGGAAUUCUACUUUGGAGGCGAUUAGCAUGGGAAAUCUUAUGAUUGGACGGUCUUAUAUUGGUGAUCAAUUUUUUAAUUGUUCUUUUGUAAAAGAUGUUUGGAAUGUUGAUUUGGACUUUGAGGAUGUCGAUGUUGAUGAAUUUACAUUAAUGACAAAAAAGAUUGUUGA
RNA transcript from Cryptomeria japonica (Japanese cedar), 2546 nucleotides. It is a transcript of the gene named UDP-glycosyltransferase 85A1, with no coding region annotated. The transcript has 5 exons. The record is from RefSeq and is a predicted model, not a curated record. NCBI's taxonomy places the organism in Eukaryota, Viridiplantae, Streptophyta, Pinopsida, Cupressales, Cupressaceae.